RNAcentral lists this ribosomal RNA (765 nucleotides) under uncultured Streptococcus sp. RNAcentral describes it as "bacterial SSU rRNA". It matches the Rfam family "Bacterial small subunit ribosomal RNA", at positions 28 to 776 of the family's 1533-position model. The record is from RNAcentral. Lineage: Bacteria; Bacillati; Bacillota; Bacilli; Lactobacillales; Streptococcaceae.
GACGAACGCUGGCGGCGUGCGUAAUACAUGCAAGUAGAACGCUGAGGACUGGUGCUUGCACCGGUCCAAGGAGUUGCGAACGGGUGAGUAACGCGUAGGUAACCUACCUCAUAGCGGGGGAUAACUAUUGGAAACGAUAGCUAAUACCGCAUAAAAGUGUUUAACCCAUGUUAAACAUUUAAAAGGUGCAAUUGCAUCACUAUGAGAUGGACCUGCGUUGUAUUAGCUAGUUGGUGAGGUAACGGCUCACCAAGGCGACGAUACAUAGCCGACCUGAGAGGGUGAUCGGCCACACUGGGACUGAGACACGGCCCAGACUCCUACGGGAGGCAGCAGUAGGGAAUCUUCGGCAAUGGACGGAAGUCUGACCGAGCAACGCCGCGUGAGUGAAGAAGGUUUUCGGAUCGUAAAACUCUGUUGUUAGAGAAGAAUGAUGGUGGGAGUGGAAAAUCCACCAUGUGACGGUAACUAACCAGAAAGGGACGGCUAACUACGUGCCAGCAGCCGCGGUAAUACGUAGGUCCCGAGCGUUGUCCGGAUUUAUUGGGCGUAAAGCGAGCGCAGGCGGUUCUUUAAGUCUGAAGUUAAAGGCAGUGGCUCAACCAUUGUACGCUUUGGAAACUGGAGAACUUGAGUGCAGAAGGGGAGAGUGGAAUUCCAUGUGUAGCGGUGAAAUGCGUAGAUAUAUGGAGGAACACCGGUGGCGAAAGCGGCUCUCUGGUCUGUAACUGACGCUGAGGCUCGAAAGCGUGGGGAGCAAACAGG